RNAcentral lists this ribosomal RNA (253 nucleotides) under uncultured bacterium. RNAcentral describes it as "partial 16S ribosomal RNA". It matches the Rfam family "Bacterial small subunit ribosomal RNA", at positions 524 to 776 of the family's 1533-position model. The record is from RNAcentral.
UACGAAGGGGGCUAGCGUUGCUCGGAAUCACUGGGCGUAAAGGGUGCGUAGGCGGGUCUUUAAGUCAGGGGUGAAAGCCCCCAGCUCAACUGGGGAAGUGCCUCGGAUACUGGUCGCCUCGAGGGAGAUAGGGGCGUGCGGAACUUCCGGUGGAGCGGUGAAAUGCGUAGAUGUCGGAAGGAACACCGGUGGCGAAAGCGGCGCGCUGGAUCUCUUCUGACGCUGAGGCGCGAAAGCCAGGGGAGCGAACGGG